GUCUCGUAAUAAAUGCCUAACAUAAAAAAUUGGAAAAAUCAGCUGAGAUUAAUUUCACUGCUUCUUCAAGAUGUCCUUUGGAAAUUAGGUUAGAAAUUGUGUGCUGAAGAUGACAGAUUCUUGAAGAGAGAGCCUUCUGAAACAUUAGCAGAGGACCAUUAACAUUAGUUAUCUCAGACUACAUACAGUGGACGUAAAGAGGGCUUAAUGGAUCAUUGUUCUCACAAGAUACUUGUCAGUCUGAUGAAAAAGAUCGUCUUAUUUCCUGAUUUUCAUUUUGAUAUGGAAAGAAAGCAUGUCUGCCUGAACCUCAUUCAUCUAAGCUAAACAAGUUGAGCUGUCAUAGAGCACUCUUACAUGAGGAGCUGACCUUCCCCAGUUUCACAGAGCAAGUGGGAAGAAGAAAGAAAUUGAAAACUAUUAAAGGAAGACAACAGCGAUUAAUCUUUGGAAAAUGUUGGAAAGACACAGUAGCUGAGAAAAGCAAGGAAUUUUUCUAAUGAAACUUGGACAGGUAAAAUUUAAACUAGGAAGACUCCCUGAUAGUCAAGAGAAAACUAACACCUCCAGAAGAUGAUUCAUCUCAAGUGGAACAGAUUUGAUGAUCAU
Cyanistes caeruleus (blue tit) is the source of this 609-nucleotide non-coding RNA. The record is from RefSeq and is a predicted model, not a curated record. Lineage: Eukaryota; Metazoa; Chordata; Aves; Passeriformes; Paridae.